GAUGAAGAACGUAGCGAAAUGCGACAAGUAAUGUGAAUUGCAGAAUUCAGUGAAUCAUCGAAUCUUUGAACGCACAUUGCGCCCGCCAGUAUUCUGGCGGGCAUGCCUGUUCGAGCGUCAUUACAACCCUCAGGCCCCCGGGCCUGGCGUUGGGGAUCGGCGGAAGCCCCCUGCGGGCACAACGCCGUCCCCCAAAUACAGUGGCGGUCCCGCCGCAGCUUCCAUUGCGUAGUAGCUAACACCUCGCAACUGGAGAGCGGCGCGGCCACGCCGUAAAACACCCAACUUCUGAAUGUUGACCUCGAAUCAGGUAGGAAUACCCGCUGAACUUAAGCAUAUCAAUAAGCGGAGGA
RNAcentral lists this unclassified non-coding RNA (353 nucleotides) under soil metagenome. RNAcentral describes it as "partial contains 5.8S ribosomal RNA, internal transcribed spacer 2, and large subunit ribosomal RNA". The stretch from base 1 to 120 matches the Rfam family "5.8S ribosomal RNA", at positions 35 to 154 of the family's 154-position model. The record is from RNAcentral.